Molecule: ribosomal RNA, 1085 nt
Filed under: Bacillus altitudinis
Lineage: Bacteria; Bacillati; Bacillota; Bacilli; Caryophanales; Bacillaceae
Description: bacterial SSU rRNA
Rfam family: Bacterial small subunit ribosomal RNA
Source: RNAcentral
CAAGGAUGAAAGACGGUUUCGGCUGUCACUUACAGAUGGACCCGCGGCGCAUUAGCUAGUUGGUGAGGUAACGGCUCACCAAGGCGACGAUGCGUAGCCGACCUGAGAGGGUGAUCGGCCACACUGGGACUGAGACACGGCCCAGACUCCUACGGGAGGCAGCAGUAGGGAAUCUUCCGCAAUGGACGAAAGUCUGACGGAGCAACGCCGCGUGAGUGAUGAAGGUUUUCGGAUCGUAAAGCUCUGUUGUUAGGGAAGAACAAGUGCAAGAGUAACUGCUUGCACCUUGACGGUACCUAACCAGAAAGCCACGGCUAACUACGUGCCAGCAGCCGCGGUAAUACGUAGGUGGCAAGCGUUGUCCGGAAUUAUUGGGCGUAAAGGGCUCGCAGGCGGUUUCUUAAGUCUGAUGUGAAAGCCCCCGGCUCAACCGGGGAGGGUCAUUGGAAACUGGGAAACUUGAGUGCAGAAGAGGAGAGUGGAAUUCCACGUGUAGCGGUGAAAUGCGUAGAGAUGUGGAGGAACACCAGUGGCGAAGGCGACUCUCUGGUCUGUAACUGACGCUGAGGAGCGAAAGCGUGGGGAGCGAACAGGAUUAGAUACCCUGGUAGUCCACGCCGUAAACGAUGAGUGCUAAGUGUUAGGGGGUUUCCGCCCCUUAGUGCUGCAGCUAACGCAUUAAGCACUCCGCCUGGGGAGUACGGUCGCAAGACUGAAACUCAAAGGAAUUGACGGGGGCCCGCACAAGCGGUGGAGCAUGUGGUUUAAUUCGAAGCAACGCGAAGAACCUUACCAGGUCUUGACAUCCUCUGACAACCCUAGAGAUAGGGCUUUCCCUUCGGGGACAGAGUGACAGGUGGUGCAUGGUUGUCGUCAGCUCGUGUCGUGAGAUGUUGGGUUAAGUCCCGCAACGAGCGCAACCCUUGAUCUUAGUUGCCAGCAUUCAGUUGGGCACUCUAAGGUGACUGCCGGUGACAAACCGGAGGAAGGUGGGGAUGACGUCAAAUCAUCAUGCCCCUUAUGACCUGGGCUACACACGUGCUACAAUGGACAGAACAAAGGGCUGCGAGACCGCAAGGUUUAGC